UGGGCACCAAGGGCCAAGUGCCUCAGGCCCGUGGUUAGCUUUUGAUUCCCUGUGUAUGGGGUCAGGCUGGCGUGGGGCUCGUGUUCUCCCUUCCGCUCGUCUCCCCACCUCCACCCUGCUCCCGACAACGUCAUUGCCAGUUUGCCCCGAGCAGCGGCUGCCAGAGGACAGUCUUGGGCAAGACAUUCAAUCAAGAGUCAGCUUGAGGACAGUCAGUGCUUCAGGUGUUUUUGAGGCCCUCGUGGGUACAGGAUACUCGGCUAGGCUGAGCCAGGAACCUGCCGGAACAGGGCCUGAGGUCAGGGCCUCCGGCAAGUCACAGGGCAGUUCCAGGGGCUGCAGGGGCCACGACUGACCUUCCUCAGCCUCCAAGGGAACCUGAAACUUUGAGGCGACUGCACCCAGCAGGGCAGGCGCCAAACCCUCUGUCAGUCGGCUGGGCUCCACUGACAAGGUCACCCAGGGAUGCCACCCGCCAGUCCCGGGAGGAACGUCAGGGGAGCUUCGUUGGUUCUGCUGGUCAGAGCAACGCUUUCCGGACAGAAGUGAAAUCUCAGAACAUCCGAGCUGGAGGGGCCCUCAGAGGCCACCAGCUAUCAUCUCUUCAUUUUACAGCGGCCACCAGCUAUCAUCUCUUCAUUUUACAGCGGAGGAGAGACAAAGCAAGGCUGCAAAGAGAUGAAAGGUCUUGCCCAGAGUCACAUAACGGUCAGUGGAAGAGCCAGACUUGAACCUGCGGCCUGUGCUGCAGGGGAUGGAGGGCUGGUGAGGAGCAUGGAUGGUGAGGUGCACACACCUGGGUUCCAGUCUCAGCUCUGCCAUUUCCUGGUGAUGUGACCUGGGACAAGCAUCUCAAGCUCACCAAGCCUCAGUUUUUGCAUCUGUGAAGUGGGCAUAAUUUUCUUAGGGCUAUUGUGAUGUUUUGAUGACGUUGUACAAAUAAAAAACGUUUAGCACAGUGUUUGACACAAGGUACCCCAGAUGUUGGCUGUUAUUAUUAUAAAUUCCAGUAAGGCCUUACAUGAAUGGGCCUCUGUCGGGGAGGGGAACCACAGUGACCACAUUUUCCAACUCUGAGUUCAGCUUCUUGCCCUGAAAUGGUUAUAUGGAGACAGCAGCCCAGAAUAUUUGAAUUUGAGCCUGUCCCCCAAUGCAGGACACGUGGGUACCACUGGGGCAUGUGUGAAGUGCUGGGGAGCGUAAGAAGGGCGAGGUUAAUCAGCUUGCCAUGGGGUGAGCUUCAAGGCAUCCAAGCUGAACCCUUAAGGACACAUAGGAGUCCUGGGCAGAAAAGAGAAUGGAGGGAACAGCAAGGUGAAGAGCAUCCAUAGAAGUCCAGAGAGUGUGGAGAGCAUGGAGUUCCCAGAAACCUUCAGAGUGGCUGGAGUGGCUUGGGUGGGGGGACAGUGGAGACAGGACCCCUCAUCUCUCCCCCCACUUUGAGAGGUGCUGCAUUUUGACUCUGAAGCUAAGACCACAGUUCCAGGCAAGGGCCACCCUUCAGAGCUAACAUAAUUUUUCUGC
This is a long non-coding RNA of Bubalus bubalis (water buffalo), 1524 nucleotides long. RefSeq lists it as uncharacterized. NCBI's taxonomy places the organism in Eukaryota, Metazoa, Chordata, Mammalia, Artiodactyla, Bovidae. The record is from RefSeq and is a predicted model, not a curated record. The transcript has 3 exons.